UACGAAGGGGGCUAGCGUUGCUCGGAAUCACUGGGCGUAAAGGGUGCGUAGGCGUGUCUUUAAGUCAGGGGUGAAAUCCUGGAGCUCAACUCCAGAACUGCCUUUGAUACUGAGGAUCUUGAGUUCGGGAGAGGUGAGUGGAACUGCGAGUGUAGAGGUGAAAUUCGUAGAUAUUCGCAAGAACACCAGUGGCGAAGGCGGCUCACUGGCCCGAUACUGACGCUGAGGCACGAAAGCGUGGGGAGCAAACAGG
This 253-nucleotide ribosomal RNA is filed under the name uncultured bacterium. Its description in RNAcentral is "partial 16S ribosomal RNA". It matches the Rfam family "Bacterial small subunit ribosomal RNA", at positions 524 to 776 of the family's 1533-position model. The record is from RNAcentral.